Molecule: ribosomal RNA, 411 nt
Filed under: Staphylococcus aureus
Lineage: Bacteria; Bacillati; Bacillota; Bacilli; Caryophanales; Staphylococcaceae
Description: partial 23S ribosomal RNA
Rfam family: Bacterial large subunit ribosomal RNA
Source: RNAcentral
UUGUACAGGAUAGGUAGGAGCCUUUGAAACGUGAGCGCUAGCUUACGUGGAGGCGCUGGUGGGAUACUACCCUAGCUGUGUUGGCUUUCUAACCCGCACCACUUAUCGUGGUGGGAGACAGUGUCAGGCGGGCAGUUUGACUGGGGCGGUCGCCUCCUAAAAGGUAACGGAGGCGCUCAAAGGUUCCCUCAGAAUGGUUGGAAAUCAUUCAUAGAGUGUAAAGGCAUAAGGGAGCUUGACUGCGAGACCUACAAGUCGAGCAGGGUCGAAAGACGGACUUAGUGAUCCGGUGGUUCCGCAUGGAAGGGCCAUCGCUCAACGGAUAAAAGCUACCCCGGGGAUAACAGGCUUAUCUCCCCCAAGAGUUCACAUCGACGGGGAGGUUUGGCACCUCGAUGUCGGCUCAUCGCA